UACAGAGGGUGCGAGCGUUAAUCGGAAUUAUUGGGCGUAAAGCGCGUGUAGGCGGCUUUGCAAGUCGGGUGUGAAAGCCCUCAGCUCAACUGAGGAAGUGCGCCCGAAACUGCAGAGCUUGAGUGCCGGAGAGGGUGGCGGAAUUCCCCAAGUAGAGGUGAAAUUCGUAGAUAUGGGGAGGAACACCGGUGGCGAAGGCGGCCACCUGGACGGUAACUGACGCUGAGACGCGAAAGCGUGGGGAGCAAACAGG
Molecule: ribosomal RNA, 253 nt
Filed under: uncultured bacterium
Lineage: Bacteria
Description: partial 16S ribosomal RNA
Rfam family: Bacterial small subunit ribosomal RNA
Source: RNAcentral